CCGGGAUAACUCCGGGAAACCGGAGCUAAUACCGGAUAACACCAAAGACCGCAUGGUCUUUGGUUGAAAGGCGGCUUCGGCUGUCACUUGCGGAUGGGCCCGCGGCGCAUUAGCUAGUUGGUGAGGUAACGGCUCACCAAGGCGACGAUGCGUAGCCGGCCUGAGAGGGUGACCGGCCACACUGGGACUGAGACACGGCCCAGACUCCUACGGGAGGCAGCAGUAGGGAAUCUUCCGCAAUGGACGAAAGUCUGACGGAGCGACGCCGCGUGAGCGAAGAAGGCCUUCGGGUCGUAAAGCUCUGUUGUGAGGGACGAAGGAGCGCCGUUUGAAUAAGGCGGCGCGGUGACGGUACCUCACGAGAAAGCCCCGGCUAACUACGUGCCAGCAGCCGCGGUAAUACGUAGGGGGCGAGCGUUGUCCGGAAUUAUUGGGGCGUAAAGCGCGCGCAGGCGGGUCCUUUAAGUCUGAUGUGAAAGCCCACGGCUCAACCGUGGAGGGUCAUUUGGAAACUGGGGGACUUGAGUGCAGGAGAGGAGAGCGGAAUUCCACGUGUAGCGGUGAAAUGCGUAGAGAUGUGGAGGAACACCAGUGGCGAAGGCGGCUCUCUGGCCUGUAACUGACGCUGAGGCGCGAAAGCGUGGGGAGCAAACAGGGAUUAGAUMCCCUGGUAGUCCACGCCGUAAAACGAUGAGUGCUAAGUGUUAGAGGGGUCACACCCUUUAGUGCUGUAGCUAACGCGAUAAGCACUCCCGCCUGGGGAGUACGGCCGCAAAGGCUGAAACUCAAAGGAAUUGACGGGGGCCCCGCACAAAGCGGUGGAGCAUGUGGUUUAAUUCGAAGCAACCGCGAAGAACCUUACCAGGUCUUGACAUCCCCUGACAACCCAAAGAGAUUGGGUGUUCCCCCUUCGGGGGGACAGGGUGACAGGUGGUGCAUGGUUGUCGUCAGCUCGUGUCGUGAGAUGUUGGGUUAAGUCCCGCAACGAGCGCAACCCUUGCCUCUAGUUGCCAGCAUUCAGUUGGGCACUCUAGAGGGACUGCCGGCUAAAAGUCGGAGGAAGGUGGGGAUGACGUCAAAUCAUCAUGCCCCUUAUGACCUGGGCUACACACGUGCUACAAUGGGCGGUACAAAGGGCUGCGAACCCGCGAGGGGGAGCGAAUCCCAAAAAGCCGCUCUCAGUUCGGAUUGCAGGCUGCAACUCGCCUGCAUGAAGCCGGAAUCGCUAGUAAUCGCGGAUCAGCAUGCCGCGGUGAAUACGUUCCCGGGCCUUGUACACACC
RNAcentral lists this ribosomal RNA (1282 nucleotides) under Geobacillus thermodenitrificans. RNAcentral describes it as "bacterial SSU rRNA". It matches the Rfam family "Bacterial small subunit ribosomal RNA", at positions 138 to 1391 of the family's 1533-position model. Lineage: Bacteria; Bacillati; Bacillota; Bacilli; Caryophanales; Anoxybacillaceae. The record is from RNAcentral.